CUCAGACAGUGACAUUACUGUCACCUGCUUAAAAUAGUAUGACGUUCUUCCAGUCUUAGAAUACUCUCUAGGGCUCUCUGUUUUCCAUGAAAGCAUUUAUUUCAGUCAAAAUACUUCAUGCUUUUUCUCCACUCCGACAUUCACCAAAAAGGAGCUGUAAGAAAAUAUAGCAACUCAAAACCGCCAUGUCAUUUUUAAAGGAGCUAUUUUCUUUUUUGACUAAUCAACCUUCGUUGUCUCCUUGGGUACUGAAGGAGCCACAGGACUGGGUGGCGACUGUGUCCCCGAGGAAGAGCCGAUCUCUCAGCUGCCUGUGUGACUACACAUGUCUAGGGGUCUGAAGCCUGCCUGGGAGGGGUCCCUGGAGAGGGUAGGGGCUGACACUCCCCUGCACCCUCACCCCGGAGUUGACAUCGCUGGUCUGUUACACCCGCAUUCUUCUUCUCCCCUGAUUGGGCCGGGACCAGGUGUGGGCCUCCCUCCUCCUCUCGUCAUCCCUCCUGACUUCUGCAGGCCUCAUCCUGGAAAGCCGGGAGGGCCGCCCCCAUCUCCCGCAUGAUGAACCUUUUGAAUAUUCGGACGUGGGCUCCUGGUUGGAGAUGUCAUGUCUUUCCUUCUGUUGUUAGUCUGGAGACAACACAGACCCCCCUGGUUUACCUGUGUAGUCCCAGGGUGUCUCAGGUGCCAGGAGCCGCUGCCACGAGUGCCUCGUCUCCUGUCAGAUGUGGUUGGUGAGAGACGAGGACAGCAUGACCACUGGGCACCACACAGUACAGAGGUCAGCGUGCAAGGACAGCGGGACGGCAGUGAUGUGGCCGUGACUACUUGUCAAGCACCCCCUCCCAGCUCCUUCUCUCAGAGGGAAAAGAGGCUCUG
This 876-nucleotide long non-coding RNA is filed under the name Homo sapiens (human). RNAcentral describes it as "HSALNT0258433". Lineage: Eukaryota; Metazoa; Chordata; Mammalia; Primates; Hominidae. The record is from RNAcentral.